RNAcentral lists this ribosomal RNA (497 nucleotides) under uncultured bacterium. Its description in RNAcentral is "partial 16S ribosomal RNA". It matches the Rfam family "Bacterial small subunit ribosomal RNA", at positions 28 to 507 of the family's 1533-position model. The record is from RNAcentral.
GAUGAACGCUGGCGGCGUGCCUAAUACAUGCAAGUCGAGCGAACGGACGAGAAGCUUGCUUCUCUGAUGUUAGCGGCGGACGGGUGAGUAAAACGUGGAGAACCUACCUAUAAGACUGGGAUAACUUCGGGAAGCCGUAACUAAUACCGGAUAAUAUUUUGAACCGCAUGGUUCAAAAGUGAAAGACGGUCUUGCUGUCACUUAUAGAUGGAUCCGCGCUGCAUUAGCUAGUUGGUAAGGUAACGGCUUACCAAGGCAACGAUGCAUAGCCGACCUGAGAGGGUGAUCGGCCACACUGGAACUGAGCCACGGUCCUGGCUCCUACGGGAGGCCGCGGUAGGGACUCUUCGGCACUGGGCGAAAGCCUGCCGGAGCAACGCCGCGUGAGUGCUGAAGGUCUUCGGAUCGUAAAACUCUGUUAUUAGGGAAGAACAUAUGUGUAAGUAACUGUGCACAUCUUGACGGUACCUAAUCAGAAAGCCCCGGCUAACUACGUG